RNAcentral lists this unclassified non-coding RNA (263 nucleotides) under plant metagenome. RNAcentral's name for it is "partial contains small subunit ribosomal RNA, internal transcribed spacer 1, and 5.8S ribosomal RNA". The record is from RNAcentral.
UUUCCGUAGGUGAACCUGCGGAAGGAUCAUUAUUGUAUAACCGAGGUGCGAGGGCUGUCGCUGACCCGAAAGGUCGUGCACGCCCGAGUGCCCUCACACACAUCCAUCUCACCCCUAUGUGCACCACCGCGUGGGUUCCCCUUUGGCUUGUUCGGAGGGGGGCUUACGUUUUCACACAUACUUUGUAUGCAGUGUAGAAUGUAUUUUUUGUUUUUGCGAUCACGCAAUCAAUACAACUUUCAACAACGGAUCUCUUGGCUCUC